CACAGUUUGACAUCAAGAGGAAUGCAAACAGAUGCUUUAUUUUUAGCAUAGUUAUUCUCUCAGGUUGGUGCUAUCUUUCAUCUUGGCUCAAUGAGGUGGGCUUAAAUCUACCUUUCUUCAUGCAGACGCCUGUGUCAGUGCUUGCAGAAUCUCUGCCCUUGUUUGGAAGAAGAGUGCUUUCUGUGAGACUAGGACGUAGUGAAUUGAAGCUUAAGGCUUGUGAUGUACCUACAUCAUGGUAUUCUGCAUUUCUGCCUCUGUGGAGCCAAAAGAGCGUCAGAUUGCCACAUUGCAGUUCAGGGGCUGCUUUUUCGUGGCGUUCCCUCUGCAAGGUACUGCACAGAGUGAAUGUAUGUGGCAGAGGACCAGACUUGAUAUCCCAUGGACAUUUAUGCAUGAAGAUGAACUAUCUCCCAAGUGAUCUGAAAUCUUCACUGGAGCUAAGCUGUCGGCUAAAUGUUAUACCUCUGCACUUUUCGUUUCAGUGUACAGAAAUGGAAUUGGUUGGUUACCUUCAAAGGGAUCCCUGAAUGUGGUAAGUUUGCAGGUACAGAAGCUUCAUACCUAGCUGAAAAUAAUGUCAGUGUGUAGAAAAAGAAAUGUUAGAUGACCUGCUUAGUUAAUUGAGCUUAACAUCAAAGCUACCUAUCAAAAUCUUUGAUAUCAAACCAAAGCAUCUUUCCUACAAUUUCUCAUGUGAGAGUCUGAACUUACCCAACCCCCAACCUGGAAGCUAGUGAAGUUGUGUGAAUUCACCCUACUUAAAAUACCAGAACAACAGUUUGCCUUCAAAAUGUUUAUCAUCCUGCAGGAGAUGGUCAUUAUUAUGUAUUGAUUUUUUCAAUGGCUUCAAUAGAAACCAAAGAUGUCCUAAGUCUGCUCUUCUUUUAUUCAGAUGGUUUUCAUAGCUAAAGUGAAGCAUAAAAGAUAGAUCUUUUACGUGACCCUCAGUGAAACUUUAUUACUUACUUACUUUGUUGAAUCAUUGAUCUGACUUGAAGUUACUUGAGGCUUGAUAUAGAACUAUGAACUGAAAAUAAUUCGACUGAAGGCACUGAAACUAGUAUAUAAUGGAUGUAGAAAACUAAUGAAGUCCAUAAAACAAGAAUGGAUUGAUACCUUAAAAGACAUCAUUAUGAGGCUGAACAAAUUUGAAUGGAAAAGAAUUUGGCUGAAGUGUUUCUCUAAGACUCUUGGGUGCUGAGAGACAACAAGAGACUGAGAAAGAAA
Molecule: long non-coding RNA, 1230 nt
Filed under: Struthio camelus australis
Lineage: Eukaryota; Metazoa; Chordata; Aves; Struthioniformes; Struthionidae
Description: lncRNA (ENSSCUG00000013450.1)
Source: RNAcentral